GCCUCCGUAGUUUAGUUGGUUAUAACACCCCACUAGUACGUAAUAUAACGAUAAUGGGGAGGUCUGUCGUUCGAAUCGGCACGGAGGCA
Molecule: transfer RNA, 89 nt
Filed under: Cryptococcus floricola
Lineage: Eukaryota; Fungi; Basidiomycota; Tremellomycetes; Tremellales; Cryptococcaceae
Description: tRNA-Thr
Rfam family: tRNA
About the family: Transfer RNA (tRNA) molecules are approximately 80 nucleotides in length. Their secondary structure includes four short double-helical elements and three loops (D, anti-codon, and T loops). Further hydrogen bonds mediate the characteristic L-shaped molecular structure. tRNAs have two regions of fundamental functional importance: the anti-codon, which is responsible for specific mRNA codon recognition, and the 3' end, to which the tRNAs corresponding amino acid is attached (by aminoacyl-tRNA synthetases). tRNAs cope with the degeneracy of the genetic code in two manners: having more than one tRNA (with a specific anti-codon) for a particular amino acid; and 'wobble' base-pairing, i.e. permitting non-standard base-pairing at the 3rd anti-codon position.
Source: RNAcentral